Molecule: small nuclear RNA, 23 nt
Filed under: Arabidopsis thaliana (thale cress)
Lineage: Eukaryota; Viridiplantae; Streptophyta; Magnoliopsida; Brassicales; Brassicaceae
Description: snRNA_17639
Source: RNAcentral
CCUAAUCUGGGCAAUAGAUGGAG